Long non-coding RNA from Drosophila novamexicana, 772 nucleotides. RefSeq lists it as uncharacterized. NCBI's taxonomy places the organism in Eukaryota, Metazoa, Arthropoda, Insecta, Diptera, Drosophilidae. The transcript is spliced from 3 exons. The record is from RefSeq and is a predicted model, not a curated record.
ACAAAACAAGCACAUUAUCAUAAACACAAACAUAAACAUAAUUAUAAUUAUGAUGUGAUCAGAAUUAACAGCAGCUCCGGCAAGAGGUGCAAAGAUGUGAAAAGCUAACAACAAAAAUAAAAAAAGGGAAAAUCAAAAAAAAAAUGUAAUAAAAAGGAAAUCAAGCAACGAAUAGAAGUAAAUAUAAAAAAACAAAGGAAAAUGCUCAACAUUGCAAUAACAGAUAAGAAAGGGCAAUACAAAUACAACAACAACAACAACAACAACUACACACAGGCAUAUGCCCAUGUAUGUGCGUGUGCGUGCAUGUGUGUGUAUGUGUGAGCAUCUACGCGCAGUAACUAAUCGAGUUUAACACCGAAGCACAUCAGCAAAUUGAUGAAACAACGAAAACAACUCUAACAACAACUUUGCAAAAACAACAACAACAACAACAACGUCAAAUUCACCAACAACAAUACCAAUUACAAGCACCUAUUCUAAGCGUCCUACAAUAACUUCAAACAAAAGAAAACAAAGCAUAAAACAAAGAACUAAACACAAGCACAGGGAGUUUACAUGCAAAACAACCUCAAACUCAGAUGUUGAUUUCGAAGCCUAAUGCAGUUUACUCAAUAUCAUCAAAAAUUGCUGGAAUAUUUGAAUAACAGACAACGAAUCAAUUAGGAUCUGCAAGGGGAAUAUCUGUAUCUAGUCUACUGUAUUGUCACAACUAUAUAUAGAUUAACAGUAGUUUGUAAGGCAGCCGCUCUUGAUGAAUAUUGGGCAGGAA